RNAcentral lists this unclassified non-coding RNA (343 nucleotides) under soil metagenome. RNAcentral describes it as "partial contains 5.8S ribosomal RNA, internal transcribed spacer 2, and large subunit ribosomal RNA". The stretch from base 2 to 120 matches the Rfam family "5.8S ribosomal RNA", at positions 36 to 154 of the family's 154-position model. The record is from RNAcentral.
UAUGAAGAACGUAGCGAAAUGCGAUAAGUAAUGCGAAUUGCAGAAUCCAGUGAAUCAUCGAAUCUUUGAACGCACAUUGCGCCCGCCAGCAUUCUGGCGGGCAUGCCUGUUCGAGCGUCAUUUCAACCCUCGACCUCCCCUUGGGGAGGUCGGCGUUGGGGACCGGCAGCACACCGCCGGCCCUGAAAUGGAGUGGCGGCCCGUCCGCGGCGACCUCUGCGCAGUAAUACAGCUCGCACCGGGACCCCGACGCGGCCACGCCGUAAAACACCCAACUUCUGAACGUUGACCUCGAAUCAGGUAGGACUACCCGCUGAACUUAAGCAUAUCAAUAAGCGGAGGA